This 77-nucleotide transfer RNA is filed under the name Deltaproteobacteria bacterium. RNAcentral describes it as "tRNA-Pro". It matches the Rfam family "tRNA". Rfam says of the family: Transfer RNA (tRNA) molecules are approximately 80 nucleotides in length. Their secondary structure includes four short double-helical elements and three loops (D, anti-codon, and T loops). Further hydrogen bonds mediate the characteristic L-shaped molecular structure. tRNAs have two regions of fundamental functional importance: the anti-codon, which is responsible for specific mRNA codon recognition, and the 3' end, to which the tRNAs corresponding amino acid is attached (by aminoacyl-tRNA synthetases). tRNAs cope with the degeneracy of the genetic code in two manners: having more than one tRNA (with a specific anti-codon) for a particular amino acid; and 'wobble' base-pairing, i.e. permitting non-standard base-pairing at the 3rd anti-codon position. Lineage: Bacteria; Pseudomonadati; Myxococcota; Myxococcia. RNAcentral also lists the same sequence under 3 other names. The record is from RNAcentral.
CGGGGUGUGGCGCAGUUUGGUAGCGCGUUGCGUUCGGGACGCAGAGGUCGCCGGUUCGAGCCCGGCCACCCCGACCA